UGGAAUUGUGGUUUGCUGGCAUGAUUCUCUGAUUCUGUCAAAAACGCUCACUAUGGGUUGUUUCUACUCAUCCAAAGCUAUUUCUAGCUCGUAUUCACAUUUGUACCUGCUGCACAGAACUACUCCAGCUGAGAUAGUAGCCUUUGGCUUUCGAUUCACCUCAUUUGUGACUCUUUUACCCAUGUUGGGCUGAUUUCCACUAUCAG
Molecule: long non-coding RNA, 206 nt
Filed under: Prunus persica (peach)
Lineage: Eukaryota; Viridiplantae; Streptophyta; Magnoliopsida; Rosales; Rosaceae
Description: long non-coding RNA (PPER_LNC008177)
Source: RNAcentral